UACCUACGGGGGGCAGCAGUGGGGAAUAUUGCACAAUGGGGGAAACCCUGAUGCAGCGACGCCGCGUGAAGGAAGAAGUAUUUCGGUAUGUAAACUUCUAUCAGCAGGGAAGAAAAUGACGGUACCUGACUAAGAAGCCCCGGCUAACUACGUGCCAGCAGCCGCGGUAAUACGUAGGGGGCAAGCGUUAUCCGGAUUUACUGGGUGUAAAGGGAGCGUAGGCGGCCUGGCAAGCCUGAUGUGAAAUACCGGGGCCCAACCCCGGGGCUGCAUUGGGAACUGCCAGGCUGGAGUGCCGGAGAGGC
This 305-nucleotide ribosomal RNA is filed under the name uncultured bacterium. Its description in RNAcentral is "bacterial SSU rRNA". It matches the Rfam family "Bacterial small subunit ribosomal RNA", at positions 335 to 658 of the family's 1533-position model. The record is from RNAcentral.